This 253-nucleotide ribosomal RNA is filed under the name uncultured bacterium. Its description in RNAcentral is "partial 16S ribosomal RNA". It matches the Rfam family "Bacterial small subunit ribosomal RNA", at positions 524 to 776 of the family's 1533-position model. The record is from RNAcentral.
UACGUAGGGGGCAAGCGUUGUCCGGAAUCAUUGGGCGUAAAGAGCGUGUAGGCGGCCCGAUAAGUCCGCUGUGAAAGUCCAGGGCUCAACCCUGGAAUGCCGGUGGAUACUGUCGGGCUCGAAUCCGGAAGAGGUGAGUGGAAUUCCUGGUGUAGCGGUGAAAUGCGCAGAUAUCAGGAGGAACACCAAUGGCGAAGGCAGCUCACUGGGACGGUAUUGACGCUGAGACGCGAAAGCGUGGGGAGCGAACAGG